RNAcentral lists this ribosomal RNA (522 nucleotides) under uncultured bacterium. RNAcentral describes it as "bacterial SSU rRNA". It matches the Rfam family "Bacterial small subunit ribosomal RNA", at positions 355 to 891 of the family's 1533-position model. The record is from RNAcentral.
UGGGGAAUCUUGGACAAUGGGGGCAACCCUGAUCCAGCCAUGCCGCGUGAGUGAUGAAGGCCUUAGGGUCGUAAAGCUCUUUCGCCUGUGAAGAUAAUGACGGUAGCAGGUAAAGAAACCCCGGCUAACUCCGUGCCAGCAGCCGCGGUAAUACGGAGGGGGUUAGCGUUGUUCGGAAUUACUGGGCGUAAAGCGCACGUAGGCGGACCAGAAAGUUGGGGGUGAAAUCCCGGGGGCUCAACCCCGGAACUGCCUCCAAAACUAUUGGUCUAGAGUUCGAGAGAGGUGAGUGGAAUUCCAAGUGUAGAGGUGAAAUUCGUAGAUAUUUGGAGGAACACCAGUGGCGAAGGCGGCUCACUGGCUCGAUACUGACGCUGAGGUGCGAAAGUGUGGGGAGCAAACAGGAUUAGAUACCCUGGGUAGUCCAGCACCGUAAAACGAUGAAUGCCAGUCGUCGGGUAGCAUGCUAUUCGGUGACACACCUAACGGAUUAAGCAUUCCGCCUGGGGAGUACGGUCGCAA